Molecule: ribosomal RNA, 292 nt
Filed under: uncultured bacterium
Lineage: Bacteria
Description: partial 16S ribosomal RNA
Rfam family: Bacterial small subunit ribosomal RNA
Source: RNAcentral
GUGCCAGCCGCCGCGGUAAUACAGAGGGUGCGAGCGUUAAUCGGAAUUACUGGGCGUAAAGCGCACGUAGGUGGUUCUGUAAGUCGGAUGUGAAAGCCCCGGGCUUAACCUGGGAACUGCAUUCGAGACUGCAGUACUGGAGUAUGGGAGAGGGAAGCGGAAUUUCCGGUGUAGCGGUGAAAUGCGUAGAUAUCGGAAGGAACAUCAGUGGCGAAAGCGGCUUCCUGGCCCAAUACUGACACUCAUGUGCGAAAGCGUGGGGAGCAAACAGGAUUAGAAACCCCUGUAGUCC